Molecule: ribosomal RNA, 468 nt
Filed under: uncultured bacterium
Lineage: Bacteria
Description: partial 16S ribosomal RNA
Rfam family: Bacterial small subunit ribosomal RNA
Source: RNAcentral
GACGAACGCUGGCGGCGUGCUUAACACAUGCAAGUCGAACGGAAAGGCCCUGCUUUUGUGGGGUGCUCGAGUGGCGAACGGGUGAGUAACACGUGAGUAACCUGCCCUUGACUUUGGGAUAACUUCAGGAAACUGGGGCUAAUACCGGAUAGGAGCUCCUGCUGCAUGGUGGGGGUUGGAAAGUUUCGGCGGUUGUGGAUGGACUCGCGGCUUAUCAGCUUGUUGGUUGGGUAGUGGCUUACCAAGGCUUUGACGGGUAGCCGGCCUGGGAGGGUGACCGGCGACAUUGGGACUGAGAUACGGCCCAGACUCCUACGGGAGGCAGCAGUGGGGAAUAUUGCACAAUGGGCGGAAGCCUGAUGCAGCAACGCCGCGUGCGGGAUGACGGCCUUCGGGGUGUAAACCGCUUUCGCCUGUGACGAAGCGUGAGUGACGGUAAUGGGUAAAGAAGCACCGGCUAACUACGUG